Molecule: long non-coding RNA, 6033 nt
Filed under: Gossypium barbadense (sea-island cotton)
Lineage: Eukaryota; Viridiplantae; Streptophyta; Magnoliopsida; Malvales; Malvaceae
Description: long non-coding RNA (GBAR_LNC004824)
Source: RNAcentral
CAUGAUUUCGACGCCGGUGUUCCGUUUUUAUCGGUUCGAAUCGGUUGUCGAUUAUCCGAGUUUCUCAGGCAUCAUCAAAUUGAGACCUUGAACAACUUGCUCCCAUGCCCUCCUUUCUGCAAGGAAUCAAAUCAUCAGGGUCCUCUCUUGGUUUGUCAAGUCACCAUGUUUGCAUGUGGGGGAAUAGCUUUAGGCAUCUGCGCCUCACAUAAAAUCACUGACGCCAAAACAGGCUUCAUUUUAGGCUUUGUUUGGAGCACAAUCUGCCAAGGAUACCACCCUGAAAUUAGAUUUCCUGCCUUAUCUAAGGCAUCCUUGAUCUUUCCACCUAAAAAUCCAAUGCCCAAGAAUUACAUAAUCAUGAUGGAAAACUUAUGGUUCACUGAAGGUAAUUUUAUUACACGGACAUUUGUGUUUAAUGAGGAAGCAAUAGCCGUCCUAAAGGACAUGGCAAAAGGGGAAGUCGAGACUACACCGACACGAACCGAAGCUGUCUCGGGUUUCAUCUGGAAAUGUUCAAUGGCGGCAUCCAGGGCGAUACAAGGAACCUCGAAACCAUCCAUUGUGGUCCAAGCGGUGAACAUGAGGCCAAAAGGGAAGCUUACGACAUGAGAUGGUUCGGUUGGGAAUGUCUUCUGGUGGGCGAGUGCACUCUCGAAUGCAGCCGAGACAGGCACCGAGUUAUCCACAUUGGUCGAGUUGAUGAGUCAAUCCAUUGCUGUUUUCGACGAUGAAUACAUGAGAUCCGUCCAAGGUGAACAAGGGUUUGAAGCCAUCGCUGAGCACUUGAACCAGCUGGAGCUGUUGUUUUCCUUUGAAAAACCUGAUAUUUUCGCCUUCACCAACUGGAUCAAUACCGAUUUUCACAAACUAGAUUUCGAAUGGGGGCAACGUUCUUCAUUUGCAUUACUGGGAAAGUAACAUUAUUCAAAAUAAUAAUUAAUUAAAAAUAUAUAGAUAUAAAUUAUUUUGAUAUUUGAAAUAUAGUGAUAAUAAAAAAAAUUCUAAUCAUUAUUAAAGAAUUUGUAAAAAAUAUAAAAAAUUUUGAUAUAUUGUAAAUUUUAAUUUAAAAAUAGUAUUUUUAUCUUUUAUUAUUUUUAUACAACAUUUUAACUAAAAAAUUACAAAAAUAGUAUUUUUAAAUAAAGAUUUAAACUGAAAUUGAUAAGAAUUUAUACAUAACUAUUCAUUUAUUGAAUACAUCUUUUAUAAAUAUGUUUUAUAUAAAAUUUUAUCAUUUCACCCAGUUAAUAAAUAUUUAAUUAUAAAUAUGAUUCAUUUUUAUGAUUUUAUUAUGAUUCAUUUACUAAAUCGAAUUAUGAUGAAUAGUUCAAAAAUUUUAAAAAAAUUCGUUUAAAUUAAACUGAUAACAUCCCUAAAAAUAAUAGACUGAGGCGACAUUAUAUAUAUGUGAUAAUAUAUUUAUCAUUUCAAAUUUUGAAAAUAACAAAAAUUAAUUGAUUUAACAGCUACAACUUCAUCAGGACUAGCAGAAUUAAACCUAUGCUUUUAAUAAGGUGAAAAAGUGCAAAAUUUAACCUAUUCUUUUAAAUAAAUUGAAAAAAAGAAGAAGCAAAAUCCGACCUGCCGGAUUCGAACCAGCGACCUAAGGAUGGCUAUUAGGAUGUCCUACUACAGUCCUCCGCUCUACCAACUUAGCUAAGGACGGUUAAUUGUUAACAAUAUUAUAGAAUUCCUUAAUUAAACUGAUAUGGAAAUUAUUUGGAUAAUUAAUACUUACAUGACGUAUUUAACUUUUUUUUUUAUAAUAUUAGUACUUAAAGUUACUUAUGUCAAUUCUUACAAUUACCACAAGUAAUUUUCUUUUUCAUUAACGGAAAUUAUCACUUGACCGGUUUGACUAUUAACAUCGUUGACAUGGUUGACAAAAGCUACCAAAAUUUGCCACGUGGUAGUAUGCUAACCUAGCAUGCCUAGUCAGCAAAAAAAAAUUAUUUUUUAAAAUUUUGAAUAAUUAUUUUUUGAAAAUAUAGUUUUUUUUUAUAAAAAUUCAAAUGUGCAUAUAGAAUGAAUCUAGAUAAUAAGUUCUCCAGAUUCAAAUGAAUUUGUACAAACGGCUGUACAAAUUCAUUUUAGAGGAGUACAAAAUUAAAAAAAAUCUAAAAAUAAAUAAAAUUAUCAAAUGUUAAAAAACUCAAAAAAAAAUUUAAAAUAUUUUUAAUUUUUUUAAAUCAAUGAAGAUUUUUAACAAUUUGCUACGUAGUUCCAAAUCAACAACAUAAAAUUAAAGUUUUAAUUAAUGUAAUUAAAAUGCAUAUUUUUUAAUUUAAAAAAUUUUGAUUUUUUUAUAUUUGCCACGUGAGCAUGAAAUUUACAUUUUUCAAUUAUAACAUUCAAUUUAGCUAUCAUUACGAUUUAAUCUGAAAUACCAAAACAUCAAAUAACUAUCAAUCUAAUCUAUACAUAGUAUAAUAUUUAUCAAAACUACAUUCAGAACAUCAAUUAAUGAAUUUAAAUCUUUAUAUGAACUUACCUCGACAAAAACAAUUGUAAAAACGAAACUGACAACUAAUCUGACACUUUAGCUUUUCCUCAGUUUAGAUCCGUUUGGUUCGUUUAUUGAUCCAAACAAUAAGUUUCAUUCAAUUAAACCACCGAAAUAACUUAGAAUAAUUAAUUCAACUUAUAACCCUUAUCAAUGAGAAAUUACAACUUUUAAUUAAUCGAUCAAGUUUAGAGUUCAGGGUUUAAGAUUCAAGGUUGGGAUUUGAGGUUUAGGGUUCCGAGUUUUGGGUUUAGAAUUCAAGGUUUGGUUUAAAAAAUUUACCAAAAUUAUAAAUCAAUGACAUAAAAAGAAUUGUUGAAAUAUCAUUAAAUAGUUGAAAAGAAAUACAGGAUGCCAUGACGCCCCUGCUCAUCUACUAAAAAUUUGAAUAUGAAUAUGAAAAAAUAUAUAAUUAUAUAAAUCAAACACAUGCAUUCAACACUUAUAUUAAAAUCCAACUAGAUUUUAAAUAUGGGUGGGUCGGGUCCAAAUUUACUUUUCUUAAAUCGGAUCGAGUUUGAAUAAAAAAGUAAGUCCAUUUUCUGGACUGAAUUAAUCCCGAACUUAAAAAAUUGACUUAAAUAAGUUGCAUGAAUUCGACCCAAAUCUAACCCAACCCAAUUCAUAAAUAUCACUUAUUGCAAUUAAGCUAACGAAAAUUAUUAAGUUAAAUAACUUCUUAAAAUAGGUGAGUAGACAAUUUAAGCUAAUAAUAAUUCAAAGAAAAAGGUGCAAAGUGUAGGCCAUGAGCAUUAAAAUUUUCCUUCUUCUUGGAGUAAGCACAAUUACUAAAGAGUGAAUUCAAUUUAAACAACUAGGACCUAUAAUAAGAGCAUUCAUUUUUCUUUUCUGCCUCUUGCAUUUAUAUGGUAACUCACCCUUACAUAUCAACAUACAAAAUUGUUCUUUCAAAAAAGGACAUUUGUUUAUAUAAGUUAUUUUAGAUAAAACAUCAAUAAAAUAUUCUUCCAACUCAUAUUCGGGGUUAUACAAGCUUAUAAAAGCUCCAAUGGUAACCCGAGACCAUAUGAGAACUAAAAUACAAAGUUCUCAAGUUUUAUCGAGUUGGCGUCGCCACCAUGAAGGUUUCACGUCACGUCAUCCAUGGCAAAAACAUGGCGUCGUGACUUUGGUGCAAUGUUACGACUCUAAAAACAGUGAGUUGACGUUGCGACCUCAAACAGGGGACAUAGUGAUGUUGAAAGCUAGUGUCGCGACCUUGUAGGCAAAAUCCUACAAGCUCAUACCUUUUUAGUUUCAUCUUAUCAUUUAACAAAGUAUAGUUGAUCUUAAGACCUAAGUAACAAACAUCACAAUAUAUAGGUCCAAUUUCACAUCUUAAACCAAUAAGACUUUAACCGUCAUUCCACCAACACGCUUACAAGUGUGGGGUCCAAUUUGCACCCCUUACCCAUACGGGCCGUGUGCAAAAAUCCCGCGUCUCACAAGUAUGGUUCGAUUAAAAACGAUAGAGGAGUAGAUAGAUUGCGAAUGCACGUCUCCAAAAUUCGAUUUUCCAGCUAAUUAUAAACAAAAAACAUACAAAAUCUUAAAUUUCAAUAUAACAACAAAAUAAUUAGAUUAAAUUAGAUUAAAAGUAAUAAAAAAUUCUUACCAUUUGCAAUUGAACGGUCGAACUAAACGAAUAAGAGAAUUUGUCAUUAAUAAUUUCAAUAAAUAAGAAUAAAAAUUGUAAUACAAAAUUAAUUAAAAAAACCUUAAUACAAUUUUAAUAAAAAAUUGAGAAUGAACUGAGAGAAUUGAGUGAGAAUUAAGAGAAGAUUGAGAAUGAAUUGAGAGAGUUGAGAGUGAAUUGAAAAAGUGGGAUAUUUGGGGUUUAAAUAGGGGAAAAGACUUGCCGUUAGGAGGGAGUCGUUGGAAUUCGAUCGUAGCCGUUAGGAAAAACGCGUCUAGCUGAAUAUGUUUUGUUGACUAAGCAGGAAAGCGCAUCCAGUUGGAAGCAUUUUCGUGCCAAAUCUACUCUCUCUCCAAAAUCGGCUUAAUUUGAUAAAUUUUAGAAAAAAAUCGGUCUAAUCCGCUAUUUUUUUCGAAAAAAAAUAGCAUUUUUGGGUAAUUCACCCAAAAUAUGUUACUAUGAACGCUUAUUAUCAAUGUUUAAUACAAUUGUUUACUAUUAUUAACUAUAUUUUUGGCAGAUUUAUUGGAGAUCUUAUAAUGAAUUAGGCUUUAACAAAGGUAAACUAAGUGAAGGGCUUUUAUAGUAGUUUAGCCUAAACUAGAAGAUCGUAUAGUGGAGGCCUUGAACUCCAAUAGUUUAUAUAUUUUUCUCCUUCCUAUAUAUAAAGUUUGUCUAAACAUAUUGGUGAGGGAAAAAAAACAAAGAAAAUGAUGAAGUUUGAGGCUCAGAUUCUUUCAAAAGAAAUCAUCAAACCAUCUUCCCCAGAAAUUCAUCAAAAAGAACCCUUCAAACUCUGUGUAUUUGAUCAGCUAACUCCCACCACUUAUGUUCCAAUCAUAGUAUUUUAAGCCCUGAGUGAUACCAACACCACCAAUAUUUUGACUCAGCUGAAGAAAUCUCUUUCAGAAACCCUAAACAUCUUGUAUCCCUUCUCUGGGAGAAUCUUUAGUAACCUGUUCAUCCAUGAUUUCGACGCGGGUGUUCCGUUUUUAUCGGCUCGAAUCGGUUGUCGAUUAUCCGAGUUUCUCAGGCAUCAUACAAAUUGAGACCUUGAACAACUUGCUCCCGUGCACUCCUUUAUCCAAGGAAUCAAAUCAUCGGGGUCCUCUCUUGGUUUGUCAAGUCACCAUGUUUGCAUGUGGUGGAAUAGCUUUAGGCAUCUGCGCCUCACAUAAAAUCACUGACGCCAACACAACCGUCAUUUUAGGCUUUGUUUGGAGCACAAUCUGCCAAGGAUACCACCCUGAAAUUAGAUUUCCUGCCUUAUCUAAGGCAUCCUUGAUCUUUCCACCUAAAAAUCCAAUGCCCAAGAAUUACAUAUAUCCAUGAUGGAAAACUUAUGGUUCACUGAAGGUAAUUUUAUUACACGGAAAUUUGUGUUUAAUGAGGAAGCAAUAGCCAUCCUAAAGGACAUGACAAAAGGGGAAGUCGUGACCACACCGACACGAACCGUAGCUAUCUCGGCUUUCAUCUGGAAAUGUUCAAUGGCGGCAUCCAGGGCGAUACAAGGAACCUUGAAACCAUCCAUUGUAGUCCAAGUGGUGAAAAUGAGGUCAAAAGGGAAGCUUACGACAUUAGAUGGUUCGAUUGGGAAUGUGUUUUGGUUGGCGAGUGCACUCUCGAAUCCAGCCGAGACAGGCACCGAGCUAUCCACAUUGGUCGAGUUGAUGAGUCAAUCCAUUGCUGCUAUCGACGACGAAUACAUGAGAUCCGUCCAAGGUGAACAAGGGUUUGAAGCCAUCGCUGAGCACUUGAACCAGCUGGAGCUGUUGUUUUCCUUUGAAAAACCUGAUAUUUUCGCCUUCACCAGCUGGAUCAAUACUCAUUUUGACAAACUAGAUUUCGGAUGGGGGCAACCUUGUUCAUGGGCAAUACUGGGAAAAGCAGG